RNAcentral lists this transfer RNA (100 nucleotides) under Microtetraspora sp. NBRC 13810. RNAcentral's name for it is "tRNA-Gly". Lineage: Bacteria; Bacillati; Actinomycetota; Actinomycetes; Streptosporangiales; Streptosporangiaceae. The record is from RNAcentral.
GUGCGGCUGUGGGACGUGGCGACCCGCCGCCCGCUCGCCACGCUCGCCGGCCACACCGACGCCGUGUGGUCGGUGGCGUUCAGCCCCGACGGGCGCACGC